CUAAAUCUAGUGAAUUAAUAGAAAGAAAAA
RNAcentral lists this small RNA (30 nucleotides) under Staphylococcus aureus. RNAcentral's name for it is "HMPRFS0000_2675". The record is from RNAcentral. Lineage: Bacteria; Bacillati; Bacillota; Bacilli; Caryophanales; Staphylococcaceae.